This 4075-nucleotide long non-coding RNA is filed under the name Homo sapiens (human). Its description in RNAcentral is "HSALNT0348693". Lineage: Eukaryota; Metazoa; Chordata; Mammalia; Primates; Hominidae. The record is from RNAcentral.
AACCUCUUUCCUUUAGAGAUUACCCAGUCUCAGAUAUGUCUUUAUUAGCAGAGUGAGAAUGGGCUAAUACAAUGAGAUAGAACUUAAAUCCCCUGCAUGCUCAUCAGAGGAGGCUCCAUAGAAGAUCAUGGACCUUGAACAAGGUGCAAGUAAGCCUAGAUGCAAUGCAAUGGAUUAGGGAUUCCAGGCUUGAAAACCAGUGGGAAGGAAGGGGUCAGGUGGGAGUGGUCCUCAGUUCCUGUGUGGGCUCUGGCAUCAGGCAGCACACAGGAGUCUUCCCUGCUGGUGGGGAGAGAAAGAGGCAGUAGAAGGGGUCCCGAGCUGGAAGGAUCAGCAGCCACUGCAGACUACUGAUGGAGGCAGUGCCAGGGAGGAAGAGGGUCGUGCCUAGUGGUGUCCAGGCAUUGGCAUGCAGGAGGCAGUCCAGGCACUGGUACCCGGGAGAGUUAAAACUGGGGGAAGGGAAGACAGCAGGGGAUUCUCACAAGGAAUGUGGAGCAGAGGCCCAGGCAGGGGGCCAUCAAGGUGGAGAGGACUGAACCUGGAAAUGGAAGCUUUCCAAGUCACACAUUGAAGAGUAUCAGCAAGGUCUUAAGCCCUGGAACAGUGAGGGAUGGCAUCAGGACAAACUGAGGUCAGUGAGUGUGUUGGCAGCGGACCAGGCUCCGAACGGCACAAACUCCGUCUGGGAUGGGGAAUCUAGCAGAAGACCUAGGAAGAAUUUGAAGAGGGUUCAGAGGUGAAUUAGGGAUGCUUGUAGCUUUUGUGUGGGCAGUGCGUUACUGGGGUGUAGUCCUCAUUGAAGGCCCAAGAUUCUGCCUCUAAGGGUGUAACUCUGCUGAAUCCAGCACCUGAGAGGCUGUCCAGAGCAGGCAGGAGGUCAGCUGUCAGGCUGUGGGCCCAGUUUUAGAGUCAAAUUGAAUUUCCAGUGGGGAAGACCAAAGCUGAAGUCCAUCCCCCAGAGGAUGAGAGAAAGGAAGGCUGCAGCUCAGGCAGCUCAGGGAGUCUGAGGCAGCAAACGAGCUCUGGACCUUGAAGUGGGGAGAGGAAGUCCUUUCACCUCAUCACAGUGCUCACAUCACCUCAGAAACCAGGUGGGACACACAGCUGUGACAGGUGAGAGAUGAUUCCAUUGGUGCCUGGGAUACCAGAUUCAUGCUGGGAAGUAGGAUGGAUGUGGUGGUUUGCAAAAGGCUUUGUCUGCUAAAUUGAGGAUACUGGAUCAUACCCCAAGAGAAAGGGGAGCUCCAAUGGAAAAGCCACCUGCAUCAUGAUGCUGCCUGUCACUUGACUGAGCGUUCCUGCUGCCCAGAAGCUCCUGUUGUCCUCCCAACUGACGGGAUGCUCUUGGACAGUGAUGCCAGCUGGAAUUAAGACUGGGUUUCCAAGGCCACUGUGACCACCAUGAUUAAUCAAUCCCUACUGCUAGGGCUCCAACAUGCCUCAGCCAGAAAGCUGUCAUCUCUUUCCUGGGAACAUUCCUUAAGAAAGAACCAUCAUGGGGUUGGAUGAAACUAAACUUGCAAAGAAGGUGAUGUGUAACCAAGUUGGAGUGUGGAGUGUGGGGUCAAAGAUGAUGGCAUUCUGUGUGGAUCCGCAGUGGUAGGAAUGGAGGUGAGGAGGAAGAAAUGAAUCCAGGAGGCAGCGUGACAGAAAACACAGACUUUGGUGACGACAUGUGAGAAGCUGUAAACUGAUAAGAAGAAAAGACGUCUCCAGCACGUUUGGGUUAGUGUCAUCAACCCAUGGAUCCUGCCCACAGCAAGACUUGGCCCAGUCACAACCCCCUUUCUAGCAAUGUGGAGAUAAAUGUCUUCAACAGAAAGGGUUGGGAAUCCCAUGUGACAGCCGAGCUCUGUUCUGCCUUUGACAGAGUCUGAUGCGAAGUGGAUCAUCUCAGGGAUGUGCCUUGCUGGCUUCACCCACCUGGAGCCUCAGGGGAAGUCUCAGGUGGGAGAUGUUAAUUUGAGAGGCCUGGGUAUAAAAGUAAUCCCAAGAUGUCACAAGAUAGAAUACUUUCUCUGAGGCACAAACAGGGAGAAAAACAAGAACAGAACCCCUUAGCAGGACACUCAUAAUAAGAAGAAUUAGGAAAAGAAAAGGGAACCCGGGGUGACACAAAACUGGGGGAGUCUGUUACCACAAGGUAGAUGGCUACCUCCAGUUGGACAAAUUUCCAUGGACCACCAUGCAAUUUCUGGAGAUGCCGCCUUUGAUCCCCUCUUCUCCCUUUGCUCCUCCCUCAUCUCCACACUCAAAGUGCACAUUAUUCAGAUGUCCAGCACGCCCCUAAAUCAACUUGACUUCUCUUGUUCCUUGGCAGAUUCAAGGACCAGCCUUCAUUGGAUUUGGGGUGGAAGCUACAUGCUUGUGUCAAGGGUUGUAAUCCCAAGUCUGGUCCUGUUUUCUGCAAACAAUAUCAUUGUAAACACAUUGAAUGUGUCUGAAUGGGAUUCACAUAACCUAUUCAAAGGUUAAUAUCACAAGACUGAUACUGAGCUGGAAGCUCUGAAAUGUACUUGUGCUCAGGGAAGAUAUUUGCUAAUGUUUGGCUUUAAUUUCCCCUGGAACUUGUACACAUCAGUGAGGCCUGGGGAUAAUGAAUAACAGCAUGGACAAUAAAUUUUAAAACAAACAAAAUAAAAACUCAAAGAACAUUAAUGCAGACCAGUGCUGGGAUAUGAUGUGUGUUACAAGAGAGUAAUGAUUACUCUUGGUGAGCAGAUUCUAUUAUCUGCUUCUUAGGAGCAAUAGGUGGCUGCCUCUUGAUUGUAUUAGUCCUGGAGUUAUAAAAUCCUCAGUCCUUUACAAUGCAAAAGUGACACAUGGGGCGAGUAAGCAGGUAAGAGAAGGAGCAAUUGGAGGAAGAGAAAUGAGAUCUGUGGCAGGGGCUAUUGGCUUUCCACUAAAACCCAUUCUCUACUUCUUGCUGGGCAAGAACUAGGCAGUAUUUACCAGCCCCUCUUGCAUUUGGGGUGGCCACAAACGAAUUCUGGCCAGUGGAGUGAGGGGCUUCUCAGACAGCAGCCUGCCCCUUCCACACUCCUGUUCCCCUUGCAGUGGCUCAAAGCCCUUGGGUGAUGAUGGAGCCAUAGCUGGAAGAAGCCUGGGUCCCUGGGUCCCCCGUGGAGCCUCCACGCGGGAAGGUGGUCUAGAAAUACACUUCCAUAUUUCAGCCAGCAUGCCUUGGGAUCUUUUUUUAAUGGUGGUUCAGCCUACCCUAACUAAAGCUGGGCCCACUCAGCACGCCCCACACAGGGAUUCUGAAAUGGGAGCAGGGUCCACCAAAACUCUGCUUUUCAGAGAGCUCACACCCUAGGGGAGUAUAAAAGUGACGAGGACACUGGAGCUGGCAGGCAAGACCCAGGAUGCCAAAAUUAGGGCCCCUAAACACAGCAGGGAGGGUGAGCUAUCCUCUUGUGAGGUGGGAGGAGGGUCUCCGUGAGCAGGGCUCUUCUUGGGCCAAACCUGGAUCAUGAGGAGGAGGGAGAGAUGCUGAAUAUGACAUGUCAUUCAAAGUGCUGUCUGGAAAUUUGAGUUCGUUUCUUCAGUAGAGGCAGCACAGGUUAAUCAGACAAACCAGCCAUCAACAGGCUUCCUUUGAGGAGCUUGGUAAGAAUGGAAAACCCAGGGCUGAGGGGCUUACAGAGCUUACAGAGCAGCACAGUAUCAGGGGCCCAAGGCACCAGGAGCUCCUCUGGAAAUUGGCGGGAACAGCUGGAGCAAAGCCGAGGUGAUGGUACCCCUGGUGGCGGGACGGCAGCGACCCUCCAUGGUAUAAGGAGUGGUGAGACCCCAAGGGACAGUGUGCAAGGACUCUGAUGGCAGCAACACUCCUCUAGGAGCUGAUGAGAAAGGCCUGGAAUCCCAAGAUGCACCCCUGAGGUUCAACUCCUACCCUGAUCAUCUCCUCCAAGAUUCUGUGACCUGGGGAAGUCAACAGUACAUUUCAACACCUAUGAUGUCAGCAUGUGAAUGACAUUCCAAUGCUGCUCAUGGGGUCACCCCUGCAAAGGUGAACUCAGUGGAAAGACCUUGCCAAACCGGAAGGAAAACAGGAUACUUUUCUCCAAAA